RNAcentral lists this ribosomal RNA (253 nucleotides) under uncultured bacterium. RNAcentral describes it as "partial 16S ribosomal RNA". It matches the Rfam family "Bacterial small subunit ribosomal RNA", at positions 524 to 776 of the family's 1533-position model. The record is from RNAcentral.
UACGUAGGCAGCGAGCGUUGUUCGGAGUUACUGGGCGUAAAGAGUGCGUAGGCGGUUUUCUAAGUUUGGUGUGAAAUCUCCCGGCUUAACUGGGAGGGUGCGCCGAAAACUGGAAGGCUUGAGUAUGGGAGAGGUAAGCGGAAUUCCUGGUGUAGCGGUGAAAUGCGUAGAUAUCGGAAGGAACACCAGUGGCGAAAGCGGCUUCCUGGUCCGACACCGACGUUCAGGCACGAAAGCGUGGGGAGCAAACAGG